Molecule: long non-coding RNA, 573 nt
Organism: Amphiprion ocellaris (clown anemonefish)
Lineage: Eukaryota; Metazoa; Chordata; Actinopteri; Pomacentridae
Source: Ensembl
UUUUUUUUUUUUUUUUUUUUACACCACUUGAAUUGGACAUCUUAAUGCGUUCAUAUGGCGACUUCGAACACGUUUUUAGAAAGAAGUGCAACACCUGCAGCUGCAAAAGAGAGGGAGACGGCGUGGGAGAACAUUGCUGCCCGGGUCAAUGCGUGCAAUCCUGCGGGGGAGAAGCGCAUGUGGCAGCAGCUGAAGAUGAAAUAUAAGAACAUUGUUCAAACAGCCAACAGAAAGAAAGGAGAUGCCUGUAAAAAGGGAGGUGGCCCAGCACCACCACCUGUAACGGAGGCAGAGGAGCUGGUCCUAAGCCAGAAUUUGGGAAGGCCAGUGGUUGAGGGAAUCCCUGGAGGGAGCUCAUCCUCUGAGACCACAUCCCAAGACACAAGUGUGUGCGUGUGUGUGUGCGUGUGUGUGUGUGUGUUCAUGCGUUCAUGCGCCCACUGAACAUUUGCCAUAAGGAAGCACAGAGCACUGCAUUGUUUCUGCGUACGAGCGAGUGUGUGUGCAGCCACAGCGAUGGCAUGCGUGAAGGGGUGUGCUUUAAAGAUAGUGAGUUUAAUUAAAGAUGAAAGG